GAUAUUUAUCACUUGCUACACUGCGACCGAUGCACUUGUCGUUGGUUUUGCAGCUAACAGUGGUGUGGUGAAGAAGGAAUUGAAGAAAGUUUGAGAUGUAAAGAUAUAUGAGGAACUGUGGUGAAUGUGCAAGAAAGGAUUUGUGAAAGUUCGAGAAAUAAAGAAAUAGUUGGAACUGUGGUGAAGAUGGAAGAAAUAGAUGUUGAAAAGAUGAAAAUAACUUCUUUAGAGAAAUUUGUUUUUAUGUUGGAAAAGUGGUUGAAGGAGUUAAUUGGGAUUGUGUUUGUUAUCUGUGUUUUUAAUGUAAUUGUAAUAUCAAUGUUGAUGAAACUUGGUUGAUUUGUUGUAAGAAG
Molecule: long non-coding RNA, 353 nt
Filed under: Vigna radiata
Lineage: Eukaryota; Viridiplantae; Streptophyta; Magnoliopsida; Fabales; Fabaceae
Description: long non-coding RNA (VRAD_LNC010207)
Source: RNAcentral